GCGCCCGUAGCUCAGUGGAUAGAGCACCGGACUUCUAAUCCGAUGGUCGCAGGUUCGAAUCCUGCCGGGCGCG
Molecule: transfer RNA, 73 nt
Filed under: Thermobifida fusca
Lineage: Bacteria; Bacillati; Actinomycetota; Actinomycetes; Streptosporangiales; Nocardiopsidaceae
Also listed under: 2 other names
Description: tRNA-Arg
Rfam family: tRNA
About the family: Transfer RNA (tRNA) molecules are approximately 80 nucleotides in length. Their secondary structure includes four short double-helical elements and three loops (D, anti-codon, and T loops). Further hydrogen bonds mediate the characteristic L-shaped molecular structure. tRNAs have two regions of fundamental functional importance: the anti-codon, which is responsible for specific mRNA codon recognition, and the 3' end, to which the tRNAs corresponding amino acid is attached (by aminoacyl-tRNA synthetases). tRNAs cope with the degeneracy of the genetic code in two manners: having more than one tRNA (with a specific anti-codon) for a particular amino acid; and 'wobble' base-pairing, i.e. permitting non-standard base-pairing at the 3rd anti-codon position.
Source: RNAcentral